AAACACGGACCAAGGAGUCUAACAUGCGUGCAAGUCUACGGGGCUUUGCAAACCCCAUUGGGCGAAAUGAAGGUGAAGGCAGAUCACCUGUCGAGGCAGGAUCCUGGGUGAGAUAUCCCGGGCGCACUGCCGGCCCGUCCAACGGUCGCCUUGUUCGAUCGGACGGAGCUUGAGCACGCACGUUGGGACCCGAAAGAUGGUGAACUAUGCUUGGGCAGGAUGAGGCCAGAGGAAACUCUGGUGGAAGUCCGUAACGAUUCUGACGUGCAAAUCGAUCGUCGGACCUGAGUAUAGGGGCGAAAGACUAAUCGAACCAUCUAGUAGCUGG
Molecule: ribosomal RNA, 328 nt
Filed under: Pseudospirobolellidae sp. China sternum
Lineage: Eukaryota; Metazoa; Arthropoda; Diplopoda; Spirobolida; Pseudospirobolellidae
Description: eukaryotic LSU rRNA
Rfam family: Eukaryotic large subunit ribosomal RNA
Source: RNAcentral